CCUACGGGAGGCAGCAGUGGGGAAUAUUGGACAAUGGGCGAAAGCCUGAUCCAGCAAUGCCGCGUGAGUGAUGAAGGCCUUAGGGUCGUAAAGCUCUUUUACCAGGGAUGAUAAUGACAGUACCUGGAGAAUAAGCUCCGGCUAACUCCGUGCCAGCAGCCGCGGUAAUACGGAGGGAGCUAGCGUUGUUCGGAAUUACUGGGCGUAAAGCGUGCGUAGGCGGUUAUUCAAGUCAGAGGUGAAAGCCCGGGGCUCAACCCCGGAACGGCCUUUGAAACUAGAUAACUAGAAUCUUGGAGAGGUCAGUGGAAUUCCGAGUGUAGAGGUGAAAUUCGUAGAUAUUCGGAAGAACACCAGUGGCGAAGGCGACUGACUGGACAAGUAUUGACGCUGAGGUACGAAAGCGUGGGGAGCAAACAGGAUUAGAUACCCUGGUAGUCCACGCCGUAAACGAUGAUAACUAGCUGUCCGGACACUUGGUGUUUGGGUGGCGCAGCUAACGCAUUAAGUUAUCCGCCUGGGGAUACGGUCGCAAGAUUAAAACUCAAAGGAAUUGACGG
Molecule: ribosomal RNA, 560 nt
Filed under: uncultured bacterium
Lineage: Bacteria
Description: bacterial SSU rRNA
Rfam family: Bacterial small subunit ribosomal RNA
Source: RNAcentral